UCGCCUCUUGCAAAAACAACGAAUAAGAGGUCCCGCCUGCCCUGUGACUUAAAGUUUAACGGCCGCGGUAUUUUGACCGUGCGAAGGUAGCGCAAUCACUUGUCUUUUAAAUGGAGACCUGUAUGAAUGGCACAACGAGGGCUUAACUGUCUCCUCUUUCCAGUCAAUGAAAUUAAUCUUCCCGUGCAGAAGCGGGAAUAUACUCAUAAGACGAGAAGACCCUAUGGAGCUUUAGACACUAAGACGAAUCAUGUUAAGUACCUCUAAAUAAAGAACCAAACCAGAUGAACCUCGCCCUAUAUGUCUUUGGUUGGGGCGACCGCGGGGAAAUACAAAACCCCCACGUGGAAUGGGAACACCCCUCCUACAACUCAGAGCUCCCGCUCUAAUAAGCAGAACUUCUGACCAAUCAGAUCCGGCAAAGCCGAUCAACGGACCGAGUUACCCUAGGGAUAACAGCGCAAUCCCCUUCUAGAGCCCAUAUCGACAAGGGGGUUUACGACCUCGAUGUUGGAUCAGGACAUCCUAAUGGUGCAGCCGCUAUUAAGGGUUCGUUUGUUCAACGAUUAAAG
This 572-nucleotide ribosomal RNA is filed under the name Zebrasoma scopas (twotone tang). Its description in RNAcentral is "partial 16S ribosomal RNA". It matches the Rfam family "Bacterial large subunit ribosomal RNA", at positions 1816 to 2593 of the family's 2925-position model. Lineage: Eukaryota; Metazoa; Chordata; Actinopteri; Acanthuriformes; Acanthuridae. The record is from RNAcentral.